UUCCUCUUCUUAAAUCUUAAACAUAUCUUUCCCGUAAUUAGUACUAUUUCUCAGCUAUCUUUGCAUGUUUUGCUCUAACUUUCCUCGACAUUUAGUCUAACACCUAUCUUUGCUGCAUGCUCGCAAUCGGUUCGGUAACACGCGUCGCGCGUCAUGCGGCAGCGCCCCUCGGUCAGUUGGGUGGAAGGAGAGGCUGCGUUUGUUCCGCGCCUGGGUUCCGCGCGUAACAGGCUUCGGCUUGGUGUCGCAUGGGCCACUUGAUGGUGCAGUCAUUGCCCAUCAACGUCCAGACAAAAGUAGGCGGAAAGGAGCUGGUCACCCGAGGCAUACACCGCUGGAACCAGGAAGUCAGUUCUUAAUGCCAAAGUUCAUUGUCUUUUCCGUCUGAAAUAUGAAAUUUCACAGUUUAAUCCACGGCCAAUGAUCCGUGCGGUAUGAAAUCGUAUUGUAACAGCUGAAAGGGUAUAUAAGAGCAAAGAAUUUAGCAGAUAUCAGAAUCGCCCAAACAUGAAGCUGGUACUGUUUGUCCUCGUCGCAUACCUGACCCUAAGCCAAGCACUUAUACUGCUGCCGUCUUGAAUACACAGUUAAAUUAUCUUAUCUUGAACUUGAGAACUUGAGAACUUGAAAACUU
Drosophila obscura is the source of this 634-nucleotide long non-coding RNA. RefSeq lists it as uncharacterized. The transcript has 2 exons. Lineage: Eukaryota; Metazoa; Arthropoda; Insecta; Diptera; Drosophilidae. The record is from RefSeq and is a predicted model, not a curated record.